UACGUAGGGGGCAAGCGUUGUCCGGAUUUAUUGGGCGUAAAGAGCGUGUAGGCGGCCAGGUAGGUCUGCUGUGAAAACUCGAGGCUUAACCUCGAGAUGUCGGCGGAAACCAUCUGGCUAGAGUCCGGAAGAGGAGAGUGGAAUUCCUGGUGUAGCGGUGAAAUGCGUAGAUAUCAGGAGGAACACCUGUGGCGAAAGCGGCUCACUGGACCAUAACUGACGCUGAGGCGCGAAAGCUAGGGGAGCAAACGGG
RNAcentral lists this ribosomal RNA (253 nucleotides) under uncultured bacterium. RNAcentral describes it as "partial 16S ribosomal RNA". It matches the Rfam family "Bacterial small subunit ribosomal RNA", at positions 524 to 776 of the family's 1533-position model. The record is from RNAcentral.